UGGGGUAUGGGGUAUUGGCAGCCCGCCGGAUUCUGGUUCCGUCAGUCUAGGUUCGAGUCCUAGUACCCCAG
This 71-nucleotide transfer RNA is filed under the name Micropruina sp. It matches the Rfam family "tRNA". From Rfam's summary of the family: Transfer RNA (tRNA) molecules are approximately 80 nucleotides in length. Their secondary structure includes four short double-helical elements and three loops (D, anti-codon, and T loops). Lineage: Bacteria; Bacillati; Actinomycetota; Actinomycetes; Propionibacteriales; Nocardioidaceae. The record is from Rfam by way of RNAcentral.